Pleuronectes platessa (European plaice) is the source of this 507-nucleotide long non-coding RNA. RefSeq lists it as uncharacterized. The transcript has 3 exons. The record is from RefSeq and is a predicted model, not a curated record. Lineage: Eukaryota; Metazoa; Chordata; Actinopteri; Pleuronectiformes; Pleuronectidae.
GAAUGUGUUGCAUGUUGCAGUACCUGCCAAAUUUAUCUGCAUCUACCGGCAAAAUACUUUAUGAGAAGCACCCGUUGACGGGGGUGGUGCAGCAGACGCACGCAGGAGAUAACAUAUAAAUUUUGCUGCCGAGAUCACGUGUUUUCGUCAGAAGGUCAUUGACACCGGCCAAAGCUCUUAUCACCACCAACUCUCUUGACAUCUUGAAAGCAGAAAGACAGAGAGAGAGACAAACAACAGGAGGCCAGUCCACCUUCGGUGUCAGAGCCCGUGGAAAACCUGAGAUCGGCUACAGAAGAGGACAGGUGUUUCUGCAGCUGGCCCAUGGAAUUUCGGCACUGAAAGAUGAGAAGAGGUAGAAAAAGGCCCACGCCUGGAUGACGAUGUACGACACGGCAGCGUAUGCAAUCACCACCUGGGUAGCGUACCCGAUCCCUGAGGAGACAGGACGACACAACAUGAAUUAGUGAUGAAGAAAGGCACCAUUAAUAAAAAUCUGUGUUCUUA